This 373-nucleotide ribosomal RNA is filed under the name uncultured bacterium. RNAcentral's name for it is "bacterial SSU rRNA". It matches the Rfam family "Bacterial small subunit ribosomal RNA", at positions 527 to 898 of the family's 1533-position model. The record is from RNAcentral.
GAAGGGUGCAAGCGUUACUCGGAAUUACUGGGCGUAAAGCGUGCGUAGGUGGUUCGUUAAGUCCGAUGUGAAAGCCCUGGGCUCAACCUGGGAAUGGCAUUGGAUACUGGCGAGCUAGAGUGCGGUAGAGGGGUGCGGAAUUCCCGGUGUAGCAGUGAAAUGCGUAGAUAUCGGGAGGAACAUCCGUGGCGAAGGCGGCACCCUGGACCAGCACUGACACUGAGGCACGAAAGCGUGGGGAGCAAACAGGAUUAGAUACCCUGGUAGUCCACGCCCUAAACGAUGCGAACUGGAUGUUGGGUGCAACUAGGCACUCAGUAUCGAAGCUAACGCGUUAAGUUCGCCGCCUGGGAAGUACGGUCGCAAGACUGAA